CCCCUAGAUGUUCUGGGCCGCACGCGCGCUACACUGAACAGUUCAACAAGUCUUAACCUUGGCCGAUAGGUCUGGGUAAUCUUUGAACGCUGUUCGUGAUUGGGAUAGACCUUUGCAAUUAUGGGUCUUCAACGAGGAAUUCCUAGUAAACGCAAGUCAUCAGCUUGCAUUGAUUACGUCCCUGCCCUUUGUACACACCGCCCGUCGCACCUACCGAUUGAAUGGUCCGGUGAAAUCUCGGGACGGCGGCUUGGUCGCUUUCGUCCGACUGCUGAAACUUGAUUAAACCAUAUCAUUUAGAGGAAGGUGAANUCGUANCA
RNAcentral lists this ribosomal RNA (320 nucleotides) under uncultured eukaryote. Its description in RNAcentral is "partial 18S ribosomal RNA". It matches the Rfam family "Eukaryotic small subunit ribosomal RNA", at positions 1470 to 1796 of the family's 1831-position model. The record is from RNAcentral.